CAUUGUUUACUCUUCUCCAGUCUCUGGGCAAAAGUUCACACUUGAUGGCUGACUUCACUUAGCACAUUUGAGGGAGCUGAAAUCCAGUUAGAGAAAGUCAUCCCCGGGAUGUGCAUUUGUGGGAUGAGAGUUGAAAUUUACUUUGGAAACUGAGAAUCACUUUAUAUUACAUUAAAAUGCAAUCUGAUACUGAACUGGGCUGCUUGACACAGAUCAACACAACGGCAGAACACAAUGGAAUUUCUACUCUCCUGAAUUAUGAUGAAAACACUGAGAGCUUUCAGUAAUUGAGAGAAUGCUCAAGUUUCAUUCAUGGAAAAAUAAAAAUACGACAAUAUAAUUAUUCAAUUCAGUUCAAUUGUUAUCAUUAUAUUAA
Non-coding RNA from Pantherophis guttatus, 376 nucleotides. The record is from RefSeq and is a predicted model, not a curated record. NCBI's taxonomy places the organism in Eukaryota, Metazoa, Chordata, Lepidosauria, Squamata, Colubridae.